Non-coding RNA from Schistosoma rodhaini, 45 nucleotides. The record is from Rfam. NCBI's taxonomy places the organism in Eukaryota, Metazoa, Platyhelminthes, Trematoda, Strigeidida, Schistosomatidae.
AUCCAGACGACGAGUCUUUAAUAGAACGAAACGCGCGUGCUGGAU